GGGAAGGGCGCGUGGAAACACCCCUGAUAAGCGUGAGGUCGGUAGUUCGACUCUACCCAGGCCCA
RNAcentral lists this transfer RNA (65 nucleotides) under Gemmatimonadota bacterium. RNAcentral's name for it is "tRNA-Ser". The record is from RNAcentral. Lineage: Bacteria; Pseudomonadati; Gemmatimonadota.